GCCCUUACCCAAAAUGGUGGACAGACACCCCUCCCAUGCCUUUACCCAAAAUGGCAGUGACCGACCCCAUGGCCUGUCACAAAAUGGUUGAAUGACCCACAGCCUGCCCUAAAAUGAGCAGGCUGAGAAGUGUAGGUGUGUAUUAGACCUGUUGAAGCUGAAAGACACGUCUUUACAUAAUCAGGAGAGAACAAGGAGUCAUCAUGAUCCAAAAGAGCUUCCUGUUCUCUUCUCCCCCAAAGGAAGAGACAAAAAAUAUCACUGAGGUGCGGAAAACCAGGAGUUCAGAGUUGCAAAGGCUGCUGACAACCUCUCAUGGUGCUCUGUCUCAGAAGCUGUGAUUUCAAGAGGAAGCAAAGUGGGUCCUAAACGCUACCGAUAGCUGAAAAUUAGGAGAUGAAGAACACUUCAGAACGUUUAAGUGUGGAAUUGAAGGCAAACCAGCAGAGGUGUGUGAAGCUCUCAGGACCUGUACCCCAAGCACAGCAGUUAAAUGGCAGCAAUCUUCCUUGCAAUAGGCUGGAAGAUUUUAAGACCCAAAGGGAUCAGUGCGAUCCACAGAUUUGAUCUUCCAUAUAAGAGAGAACAGAAAAUAUCAUGCAGUAAUUCUUACACCACAUCUAAGAAGUUUUAGGUUACAGAAGAGUAUAUAUUCAGCUAAGGCAUCCAGACCCAGCUUCCAAGAUUUAGAGAUAUGGAGUGUUCACUGCCAGCCUUUUAAAAAUUUAUCUACCUGCCCUUAUUGCUAAGGAGGUUUGUCCAAUAUCCAGUUCCAACAGCUCUUUCUUCAGCAGAGGAAACCACUGCUGUUCACCCCCAGCUUUUUAUUACCCUCUUCAUCUUCUCUGAGCAGUAAAAUAUGAAGCAUAUUUUACAAAGUGAAGUAAAUAAUGAGAUUGAAAUAAAUUGCACAAAAAAGGAGGUGCUUGACAGUGUUUCUGACUGCCACUGUCUGGGAGAAUCAAUGGGAGACAGUCACAGUCAGAUAUCCAUUAAGCACAGAGUGCAUUAGUAAUUGCUUUAAUCAUCUUUCAUGCAAUAACCAUCACUGCUGUGUUCUCCUCUGCUCAGACUGUUUUCCUUCCCUUCCUCAUUGGAAAUGUUCCAUCACACAGUUUCCCUUGGUGCAGACCAAGCGCAGCAAGCAGCAAUGCUUUCCACUUUAUGCUUCAGGAAUUUCUACAGGUUUAACAGUUUUAAAACAGACAUUAAGCUUCUCUUUCUUCUGUGUUUUUUUCAGCUGUGAAAAUGCCUUUAAAACUCCUGAAUAUGCACCAUUUGACCUACUGAGCCUAAUAAUUUAGUGGCAUAAACCCUUAAACAUGAAGUCAACACUUAGUUUAGAUGAAGUGUCAACAGUGUGUAGGCAACAAGCUGACACAAAUCUUAAAGAAUUCAGCUUUUAAAAAGCCUUAAUUCCUUCUUUACUCCAAUUCUCUGCAAAAGAACCUUUCCACAGCUUUGUAUGGCUCUUUAAGCUAUGUCAGCACGAGUGGUAGCUUAAAGGUACAGCAAUUAAAUUAUGAGCAAAUGUAUGUAAAAACACAGUGUAAGAACAUUUCCAAAAACAGACUUUACAGGAAAUCAAUACAUUUUCACUGAGGUAGAUUGCCCAGCAUCAUCAGUGAAUGAAUUUUACUAAACCAGCUGUAGCAAGAGAAUCAAACCCAAGCACCACCAAGGAAAGCAAUUGUAUUCAUUAGGAACCCACAAAUGACACAGCUUUUCACAAGCAGCUACGCAACUCCAGGGGGUCCCAUUUGAAUCUCAGCUCUAUCAUGCUGCAGUUCCACCUUUGUAUACUCAAAAUAAUAAUAAUAAAAAAAGCUAAUUCUUGGAAAGUAUGAGGAUUUUUGUUUUACCCGGGCAAUGAGUAACAUUAUCAUAACCUGAGGGGAAAAUACCGGUGAAUCAACAUUUUCUUAAUUAACUUUAUUGUAGUCUUGGUCUUACGCUGAUCCUUGAGGAAGGGCAAUCUUUUUUCAGUGGCUGAAGCAUUAGAACAGGAGCACCUAUUGCUGUAUUUAAUGAGGUUGAGAGAUACUGCAAUUUUUUGAGUAAAGAGUUGAGGUCUCCCUUUAAAAACAAGUAUUACAGAAUAGUAUUCUUUCUUUCUGAGGCAUACAGCAUUUUACAAGGAAACUUAAUGAAGUAGGCUCUAAGGUAUUUCCUGUAAUAUAUUUCAAUAAAAGAAAGUAUAAGCCAGUAAAGUUGCUCAUGUAAGCAUUGAGGAUUUAAGGAAUUACUUAAACAAUGAAUGCAUGAAGCUAUUAACCUUCUUGGAGAAUUAAAAUGUGCCCCUACGUGAUGAAUCGAAAGCAGCAGUCAUUUCAACUCUGAAGGACUGGUUUUAUACAUGUGACUGAAACAUAAUUAAAGAAAUAUGAAAUUGUGCUGCAUCCAGAGAAAAUUAGACCAGACUUCUAGACCAUGAGAACACCUUUGCAACAGCUUUUAUUUGGUACAUUCAUACACCAGUUACCUCUUGGCAAUGGCACAGGCCCAGGAAGGUUAUAUGCUAGCAGCUGGUCUCAAGUGAAGGCACAACCUAGUGAAAUGAGUAAUUUUAAAGUUUUAUUUCUUUGCAAUAUUCUGCUAUGCUGGAAACAUUAAGAGGAUCUUCAUGACUAAGUAAAAUUUUGCUUGUGCGCAGCUUAUUGCAUAAAAGCAGUAGCAACAAAAAGCCCUGAUACCAGACUAAUCUGGGUACAGGUUAUCUGCAUAUGUCAGGUAUUUAAAGGGAAAUUUUAUAAUAGGAAAGGUUUAGAAAAUUUAAAACACUUUCUCUCUGACAGAGGUCACAGGAAUGUUCUCUGUUUAAACCAGCUGGAACACUGAUAGUGUGAGAUUAAAUAAAACAUAAAAAGGAUAAAAGAAUUACCAUAUACUUUAAAAAGCCACAAAACCAAAACCCAGAGAGCAGAAAUGAGAACAAUAAGAGGUAUUUUUUCAACUCACUGAAGCGUCCUCCUGCUUAAGGAAGCCCUUCCUGGUGCCCUUUUGCAUGUCACCAGUUUUGUGUGUCCCCAUCAAUUCAUUUUCCACUGGUAUCAUGAUUAUCUAAUUAGUACCAAUCUGUCACUGUCAAUUAGGAACUCAGGAGAUCUUCAGGUUCUCUAAAAGCGGUCACUUGGCCAUGAGAUAAUAUCAAAACAUCAUUACCAUACCAUUUAUCAGGUUGGCUUUUUUACCUUUUACUAAUUUGUUCAGCACCUGAGUCUUCUGGAUGUUUAUGAAUAUAACAUGUUCGUAUUGCUAAUUAUAUCAUAUUUUGCCUAUGCACU
Molecule: long non-coding RNA, 3284 nt
Organism: Chiroxiphia lanceolata (lance-tailed manakin)
Lineage: Eukaryota; Metazoa; Chordata; Aves; Passeriformes; Pipridae
Exons: 4
Source: RefSeq, a predicted model, not a curated record